Molecule: ribosomal RNA, 608 nt
Filed under: uncultured bacterium
Lineage: Bacteria
Description: bacterial SSU rRNA
Rfam family: Bacterial small subunit ribosomal RNA
Source: RNAcentral
GCAAGAUUAAAACUCAAAGGAAUAGAGGGGGACCCGCACAAGCGGGGGAGCAUGUGGUUUAAUUCGACGAUACGCGAAGAACCUUACCUGGCCUUGGCAUAGAAAGAACUUUCCAGAGACGGAUUGGUGCUAGUUUACUAGAGCUUUCAUACAGGUGCUGCACGGCUGUCGUCAGCUCGUGUCGUGAGAUGUUGGGUUAAGUCCCGCAACGAGCGCAACCCUCGUGUUUAGUUACUAACAGUUCGGCUGAGGACUCUAAACAGACUGCCUGGGUAACCAGGAGGAAGGUGAGGACGACGUCAAGUCAUCAUGGCCCUUACGGCCAGGGCUACACACGUGCUACAAUGGGGUAUACAAAGAGCUGCAAUACGGUGACGUGGAGCAAAUCUCAUAAAAUAUCUCCCAGUUCGGAUUGAAGUCUGCAACUCGACUUCAUGAAGUUGGAAUCGCUAGUAAUCGUAGAUCAGCAAUGCUACGGUGAAUACGUUCCCGGGUCUUGUACUCACCGCCCGUCACACCAUGGGAAUUGAAUUCAUUCGAAGCGGGGAUGCUAAAAUAGCUACCUUCCACAGUGGAUUUAGUAACUAGGGUGAAGUCGUAACAAGGUA